RNAcentral lists this long non-coding RNA (1631 nucleotides) under Zostera marina. RNAcentral describes it as "long non-coding RNA (ZMAR_LNC002555)". Lineage: Eukaryota; Viridiplantae; Streptophyta; Magnoliopsida; Alismatales; Zosteraceae. The record is from RNAcentral.
GUUCAUCUAUACUUAUAUAUAUUUCUUCCCCACCAGCACCCAAUCCAAACGCCGUCUAAGAUCCAGAAUUGCCAAAACCCCAAAUUCCCAAUUACCGAGACGAUAAAAAAAUCCAGAAAUUUACGAAAGAAAGAAAAAUCAAGAACGUCGUCUCCAUAUCCGAAGAGAUUGACUCUCAGUCUAAGAUGGUUGCUAAGCUCGACGAAGAACUCGUACAUCUGGCCCAGAUCGGUUACGUUACCAUGCGAAUACAAAACAGUAGAAACCGCCAUGAGGUUAUAAAAUCACCACUAUUUGAGGACAACGUAGCUUAGGAGGAUUUAAGGUAUGGGUUGGAAGAGGAAGAUGGAUUUUUAUAGACAUAUUCGACAAUUUGAUUUAAUUUUUAAAUGGUCAAAAAAAAAUGUGAUUAUUUUUUACUACAAACCAAUACAUUUAACAUUUCACCUAUAAAGAUUGGAUAUGGACUUACCCAUACUAUCAAUUAGUUUUAAAAAACGUCUUAAACAUAAUAUUUCCAAGUAAAUAUAAGUAAAUACUAAAUACUCAUCAACAUAGAAUUUAUUACCUCAUGAACAUGCAGGCUUACAGACUUUUAAAUAAUAAUUAAUAAUAACCGAAAUAACAAUAAUAAGAUCAGAAAUAUUGAAAAUCAUCACGACUACAACAUCCUGUAUACAUUUCCUAAACAAAAAUCUCUCCUUUUAUACUAAAUUACAUCAAAUACGAAGAGGGUAGAGGUUGACAGCGGUAGAGAAAAGAAAAAAGAGAAUUUACCGAUCACUUUAUAAAAAGACUUCUCCCCAUAUACAACGAACAGCAAUUAUAUAACUUAGCAGCAAACCUAAUAAUUUAUAUCAAAAUCACAAUCAAGCCUCAGCUACCACAGUUCUCUCAUUUCUUCUGUGCACUGCAGAUUCACCUUUGCAUUGGGAUUUUAGGGGGUGAAUGAUUAGGUUUGUAUAAUUUAGAAGCUCCUUAGUUAUAAAUUUUAACAGCCUUCUCAAACGUGUGUCGAUUCUGCAAAAUACAAAACAUGACGCAUUACUGUGCAAAAAAAUGAUAAAAGAAAAUCUAACCAGCACAGAUAGGAUUACAGGAAUUUCCGCAUGUACCUGAUUGGCCGUGUAUGAUCUUUUAGAAGAAAUGUCAGAAUGCUCCAGUCCAAGGUACUGUUCCCAGGCUCCAUAAACCUCCCUUCUCUGGUUGAAAUAAAAGCAACACCAACAAGUUUAACAAAAUGACAAACAAAUAAUAUUGAUAUAAAAAGUAGCAUUAAGGAUAUGUAGAACUAACCUGGAAACGAUUUGAUACAAUGUCUGAAUCUUCAAGAUAUUCAGGUCUACCCAGUGAUAGAAACGCAAAUUUCCACUAAAAAAGAACAAACAAAACACUAAAAAAUUACUUGAAUUAUUAAGGGAAAAAAUUAAACGAAAAAUGUCAUAAAAGAGAGAAUUCAACAGUAAUCAAAUAUUUCCUAAUCUCAAUUAAAAUCCAAUUGUAGCCUAUUUUAUUUUAUUAUAAUUUAAUAGACCACAAACUUAAUUACAGUUACUAAUAUAUUUAUAUAUGAAUUUUGUCGCAGAUUCAGAGCAUUAAAUAUCAACAAAUCACUUGCCAGUUGCUAUGGU